GAUUCUUAGGAAGACCCUGGCCUCCAUCUUGAAAACGGAAAAUAAAAACAGCAGACCUAUGAAGGUCGAAGGGGAAGAAAAGCUGUAUCGAUUGUUGAGAUCUGGCGACUUGUUUAAAUUUCAUCAGCCUCACUUCUAUGAACUCUCAGGCCUCACGUGUACCAGCUCUCUGCUCUCCUUUGCCUUGGGACGUUCCAUCCCUGGAAGUUUCCCUGCCCACAUCUUUGUAGAGAGUCCAUUCUCCAAGCUUCAGUGUGUCAUCUGUGAGGACCGUGACCCACCUGGUACAUCGCCUCAGGGCAUUCAUUUCAGGCUCCUUCUAAAUGGCCAAGGCCAUGAGAGAAGCAGUACCUUAUAAUGGUUCCUUGUUCAAAGCACUCAAUAUUCCUAGGAUGUGGUCUCCCAGCUGACUUCAUAACUGAAUCAUCAGUAAUUAAUUUCAUUGUUCUAUUAGAUGACCUCAACCUCUUGGCCAUUUGCUCUGUGUUUCACACAGGACUUUACUGAAGACUCUAAGGAGGACCUGUAUCUGUUGGGAUCCUCAGGGCAAGCCACAGAAACAAGCUUUGGAUACUAGAAGCAGAAAAUGGAGAUAUUGAAGACUAUUGUGGAGUUUACUGUGAGCCAGAGAACCAGGCUGGGGGGCUGUAUCACUUAGAAUGAGAUCCAAACUCACACCAUAGUUCCAUCCUUGAGGUUGCCAUGUUGCUGCCACCCCUCCUGCCACCCCACCACUGAAGCUUUGGAUGCUGGAUUCUGGGCACAGCAGGGAGAAGUGUUGCUUAUUACCAUUUUAGUAUGUUUUCUUUCAAGACCUUUUCAAAAUAUACAUACGUAUUUUUAUUUCUAUUCAAAAUGGGAUACAUUUUUGAAGGUUAGCAAUAUAUUGUGAACAUUUUCUUUCCAUGCUCAGAAACAUUUUUCUAUAAUGUAAUUUAUAGUGAUAUAAACUAUCUCAUAGACCUACCAUAGUUUACCUAACAAAUCCCAAAUCAUUUGUGCCAUUUCUAAAUUUUUAUUAUUUUAUGUAAUGCUUUAAUGAACAUCCUUGCAUUUAUAUUUUAUACAAUUUUAGAAGUGGAAUUACUGGUUCAAAAUACAUGGUGAUUUUUAAUUCUUCUGUUGAAUAUUGACAAAUUGCAAUCCUGAGAGUUAUCUUGAAGGAUAGAGUACAUGCCCAGGGUUCUUUUUUAAGAAAUAAUUUGUAAUGUGAAACAGAAUAGGCUAAAUGUUUUUUAUUCUCUUAGUCCUACUCUGUCAUUCUGCAGAGUUUCACUUAUUUGGAUUCAAAUUCUAAUUCCAGCCUACCUCUCUUUUUAUAUAAUUGUUAGGAGGAUUAAAUUAGAUGCAUAAAAUUGCUGCUUACUACAUACAUUGCACAAACUAAAAACUUUUCAAAGGUUAACUGUUUUUCUGGUUUAUUUUUAAGACACAGGUUCUUGCUCUGUUGCCCAGGCUGGAGUGCAGUGGUGUGAUCACGGCUCACUAUAGCCUCAUCCUGCUGCACUGAAGUGAUCCUCUUGCCUCAGCCUCCUGAGUAGCUAGGACUACAGGCACGUGCCACCAUACCCAGCUAUUUUUUUAAAAAUACAUUUUUGUUGAGGCUGGGUCCCCUUUGUUGUCCAGGCUGGUCUUAAGCUCCUGGCCUCAAGCAAUCCUUCCACUUCUACCUCCCAAAGUGUUGAGAUUAGAGGUGUGAGCCACUCCACCUGACCCAAAGGUUAACUAUUAUUAUUGUUAUUAUUAGUCUGUUUUUUUCCAUUCAUUUCCUCAUUAGUCAACUUUUAUUGUUUCAAUGUUAUUUUAUUGUUUUUCAAAGACUCCUUAUAGUCACAAUAUGUACAUAAUAAAUUUUACCCUUUAAGGACA
Molecule: long non-coding RNA, 1869 nt
Organism: Homo sapiens (human)
Lineage: Eukaryota; Metazoa; Chordata; Mammalia; Primates; Hominidae
Gene: TEX41
Product: testis expressed 41
Source: Ensembl